AUGGCACCUCAUGUGGGUAAUCUUUCUUUCCUCUCCGUCCUCAACCUCACCCUCACCAAUCUUACUGGCCCGAUUCCAGCUGAACUUGGGCUUGCAUCAUGUCAAUGCCUACAAGUACUUGAUUCUUCUGCAAAUUCUUUUGUGGAUGUUGUACCAACAUGGCUGGCCAAAUUGCCACGCCUUCAAGUGCUUGAGUUGGGUGCUAAUAAGCUUAUUGGCUCAAUCCCAGCUAGUCUAAGAAAUCUCACCAGUCUUUCAAGAAUAGACAUGCCCUACAACAACCUCACAGGGGAGAUUCCGCCAGAAUUAGGUCUUAUACAGGAACUCUCACAUUUGCAUCUUGGAACCAAUCAGUUGACAGGUGACAACAAGUUAAUAGGUGGGCUCCCGGUAGAGAUCUCAAACAUAAGCAGCCUUGCAAGACUAGGUGUAGAAAACAACCUGUUAACCGGGCCAAUCCCAGAAUCCAUAGCUAUGUUGGAAAAUCUUGGAUGGCUUGAUCUCUCAGGUAAUGACAUGUUAGGCCCUAUCCCAGCACAAAUGGGUUUGCUCGGAAGUCUAGAGCGGCUUUCUUUCCAUGCAAACAAAUUAUCAGGAUCUAUACCAAGUAGCUUUGGAAAUCUUAGUUUGUUAGAAAACAUCGACUUGUCUAGUAAGCAGUUAAGUUCAAUGAUACCUGCAAGCCUUUUCCACCUAGAUAAACUUAUCACACUAGAUAUUUCUCACAAUUACUUUGUUGGUGCACUACCAGUCGAUGUUUCAGGUCUAAGACAAGUAUACCAAAUGGACAUUUCUUCCAACUUCUUGAUAGGAAGCACCCCAGACUCAUUGGGACAACUUAGUAUGCUAAUCUACCUAAAUCUAUCGCAUAACUCCUUCAAAGGAUCAAUUCCAGGCCCACUCAAAAAGUUAAGCAGCUUAGCAUCAUUAGACCUAUCAUUUAACAAUCUCUCUGGUAGCAUUCCCACGUUCCUUGCUAACUUUACAUACUUGACUACCUUGAACCUCUCAUUCAAUAGUCUAGAAGGCCAAAUACCCGAGGGAGGUGUUUUCUCAAAUCUCACAUUGCAAUCUUUGAUUGGAAAUGUUGGGUUGUGUGGCGCUCCGCGCCUAGAUCUUUCGACAUGCCUUGACAUACCUCACUCAAGAAACAAACAUGUGCUACAAAUUCUACUCCCGACACUCACACUAGCUUUUGGCGCCAUUGCCAUUUGCAUAUACCUAUUGUUCGGAAAGAAACCUAAGGGGGGAGAGGACAAACAUUUUGUCAAUGCAAAUGAUGUCAUAGGCCAUCAGAUAGUCUCCUAUCAUGAGCUCAUUCGUGCCACCAAUAGUUUCAGUGAAGAUAACAUCUUGGGAUGCGGAAGCUUUGGAAAAGUAUUCAAAGGCCAACUAAGCACUGGUUUGGUAGUCGCUAUAAAAGUUAUUGACGUGCAGCUAGAGCAGGCCAGUCAAACUUUUGAUGCCGAGUGUCAAGUGCUUCGUAUGGUGAGACACCGCAACCUCAUAAAGAUACUCAACACAUGUUCCAAUCUUGAUUUCAAAGCGCUAGUGCUUCAGUACAUGCCAAAUGGCAGCUUGGAGAUGCUCCUACAUCAGACCAAGAGUGCAGUGCGCUUGGGAUUCCUUGAGAGAUUAUGCAUCAUGCUAGACGUGUCGAUGGCAAUGGAUUAUCUACACCAUGAGUACUACAAUUUGAUCUUGCACUGUGACUUGAAGCCUAGCAACGUGUUGUUCGAUGAGGAGAUGACGGCGCAUGUGGCGGACUUUGGCAUUGCAAGGUUGAUUCUAGAUGACAACAGCAUGACAUGUGUGAGCAUGCCUGGAACAGUUGGGUACAUGGCACCUGAGUACGGAUCUCUUGGAAAAGCAUCGCGGAAGAGCGAUGUGUUUAGUUAUGGAAUCAUGCUCCUUGAAGUCUUCACCGGAAGAAAACCCACCGAUGCUAUAUUUGGCGCACAACUAACUCUUAGGCAGUGGGUUCAUCGGGCAUUUCCUGCAGAGCUUGUCCAAGUUGUCGAUGUCCAGCUUUUACAGGGUUCCUCUCUUUCUAGCUGCAAUCGGGAUGGUGGUUUUCUUGCGUCGGUCUUUGAGUUGGGAUUGAUCUGCUCUAGUGACUUGCCUGACCACAGGAUGACGAUGCAUGAUGUGGUUGUGGUGCUGAAGAAGAUCAAAGCAGACUACACCAAACUGUCGCACCCUUUCUCAAAUCUGAACAAGACCAAAGAGAGGCGUGUACUGAACCAGGAAGGCAAGAUUGAUUCAAACACCGUGAGUUAUCAUCCCGUGGCCUUCUAG
This 2298-nucleotide ribosomal RNA is filed under the name Triticum aestivum (bread wheat). RNAcentral's name for it is "partial small subunit ribosomal RNA". The record is from RNAcentral. Lineage: Eukaryota; Viridiplantae; Streptophyta; Magnoliopsida; Poales; Poaceae.